This is a non-coding RNA of Phrynosoma platyrhinos (Desert horned lizard), 73 nucleotides long. NCBI's taxonomy places the organism in Eukaryota, Metazoa, Chordata, Lepidosauria, Squamata, Phrynosomatidae. The record is from the annotation of a GenBank genome assembly.
GGCCAGCAUGGUGUAGUGCUUUUAAUGUUGAACUAUGACUCUGAAGACCAGGGUUCAAAUCCCUAGUUGGCCA